GAUGAAGAACGCAGCGAAAUGCGAUAAGUAAUGUGAAUUGCAGAAUUCAGUGAAUCAUCGAAUCUUUGAACGCACAUUGCGCCCGCCAGUAUUCUGGCGGGCAUGCCUGUUCGAGCGUCAUUACAACCCUCAGGCCCCCGGGCCUGGCGUUGGGGAUCGGCAGAAGCCCCCUGUGGGCACACGCCGUCCCUCAAAUACAGUGGCGGUCCCGCCGCAGCUUCCAUUGCGUAGUAGCUAACACCUCGCAACUGGAGAGCGGCGCGGCCAUGCCGUAAAACACCCAACUUCUGAAUGUUGACCUCGAAUCAGGUAGUAAUACCCGCUGAACUUAAGCAUAUCAAUAAGCGGAGGA
Molecule: unclassified non-coding RNA, 352 nt
Filed under: soil metagenome
Description: partial contains 5.8S ribosomal RNA, internal transcribed spacer 2, and large subunit ribosomal RNA
Rfam family: 5.8S ribosomal RNA (bases 1-120)
Source: RNAcentral